Molecule: ribosomal RNA, 664 nt
Filed under: uncultured Bacteroidota bacterium
Lineage: Bacteria; Pseudomonadati; Bacteroidota
Description: bacterial SSU rRNA
Rfam family: Bacterial small subunit ribosomal RNA
Source: RNAcentral
UGAACCAGCCAUGCCGCGUGCAGGAAGACAGCCCUCUGGGUCGUAAACUGCUUUUAUUCGGGAAUAAACCUACUUACGUGUAAGUAGCUGAAUGUACCGAAGGAAUAAGGAUCGGCUAACUCCGUGCCAGCAGCCGCGGUAAUACGGAGGAUCCAAGCGUUAUCCGGAUUUAUUGGGUUUAAAGGGUGCGUAGGCGGCUUAUUAAGUCAGGGGUGAAAGACGGUGGCUCAACCAUCGCAGUGCCCUUGAUACUGAUGAGCUUGAAUGAACUAGAGGUAGGCGGAAUGUGACAAGUAGCGGUGAAAUGCAUAGAUAUGUCACAGAACACCGAUUGCGAAGGCAGCUUACUAUGGUUUUAUUGACGCUGAGGCACGAAAGCGUGGGGAUCAAACAGGAUUAGAUACCCUGGUAGUCCACGCCCUAAACGAUGAAUACUCGCUGUUAGCGAUAUACAGUUAGCGGCUAAGCGAAAGCGUUAAGUAUUCCACCUGGGGAGUACGCCCGCAAGGGUGAAACUCAAAGGAAUUGACGGGGGCCCGCACAAGCGGAGGAGCAUGUGGUUUAAUUCGAUGAUACGCGAGGAACCUUACCCGGGCUUGAAAGUUACUGAAUGAUCUAGAGAUAGAUCAGUCCGCAAGGACAGGAAACUAGGUGCUGCAUGGCU